CACACUCCUGCGGGAGGCAGCAGUGGGGAAUAUUGGACAAUGGGCGCAAGCCUGAUCCAGCCAUGCCGCGUGAGUGAUGAAGGCCCUAGGGUUGUAAAGCUCUUUCACCGGUGAAGAUAAUGACGGUAACCGGAGAAGAAGCCCCGGCUAACUUCGUGCCAGCAGCCGCGGUAAUACGACGGGGGCUAGCGUUGUUCGGAUUUACUGGGCGUAAAGCGCACGUAGGCGGACUAUUAAGUCAGGGGUGAAAUCCCGGGGCUCAACCCCGGAACUGCCUUUGAUACUGGUAGUCUUGAGUGCGAGAGAGGUGAGUGGAAUUCCGAGUGUAGAGGUGAAAUUCGUAGAUAUUCGGAGGAACACCAGUGGCGAAGGCGGCGCACUGGCUCGAUACUGACGCUGAGGUGCGAAAGCGUGGGGAGCAAACAGGAUUAGAAACCCCUGUAGUCCCA
Molecule: ribosomal RNA, 449 nt
Filed under: uncultured organism
Description: partial 16S ribosomal RNA
Rfam family: Bacterial small subunit ribosomal RNA
Source: RNAcentral